RNAcentral lists this ribosomal RNA (108 nucleotides) under Staphylococcus arlettae. Its description in RNAcentral is "partial 23S ribosomal RNA". It matches the Rfam family "Bacterial large subunit ribosomal RNA", at positions 2820 to 2925 of the family's 2925-position model. The record is from RNAcentral. Lineage: Bacteria; Bacillati; Bacillota; Bacilli; Caryophanales; Staphylococcaceae.
CUUCGGUUAUAAGAUCCCUCAAAGAUGAUGAGGUUAAUAGGUUCGAGGUGGAAGCAUAGUGAUAUGUGGAGCUGACGAAUACUAAUCGAUCGAAGACUUAAUCAAUUU